AAACAGAGGGAUUUGACUCUACUCAGGUUCCAGUACAUUCUAGAUUUCUCUGCUUUCAGAGUCCAGGUUGGGGACCAGCUAGAGACCGUCUUUCUCCUGAGUGGGAACGAUCCUGCCAUUCAUCUCUACAAAGAGAACGAGGGGCUGCACCAGUUUGAAGAGCAACCCGUGGAAAACCUCUUCCCAGAGCUCACAGACCUGACCAGUAGUGUCCUCUGGCUUGAUGUGCGCAACCUCCCGGGCACAUCCCGGCGCCUCUCGGCUCUUGGCUGCCAGAAUGGUUAUGUACGUGUGGCUCACGUGGACCAGCAGAGUCAAGAGGUAUUGCAGACUUGGACAGUCCUGCAGGACGGACCCAUCUCCCGGGUGAUUGUGUUCAGCCUGUCUGAUGCAGUGGGUAAGCUCUGGGCUCCAGACCAUGGGAGUUGGGGGAGAGGGGUUACUGCAGGCUCAGUUUUCCCAACCCUAACAGCCAGACCCUGUGCUUUUUUGGAUGUCCCUAUCUAGCCCUCAAGUUGUGCCACA
This 525-nucleotide long non-coding RNA is filed under the name Nannospalax galili (Upper Galilee mountains blind mole rat). Its description in RNAcentral is "lncRNA (ENSNGAG00000024446.1)". Lineage: Eukaryota; Metazoa; Chordata; Mammalia; Rodentia; Spalacidae. The record is from RNAcentral.